RNAcentral lists this ribosomal RNA (301 nucleotides) under uncultured bacterium. Its description in RNAcentral is "partial 16S ribosomal RNA". It matches the Rfam family "Archaeal small subunit ribosomal RNA", at positions 459 to 761 of the family's 1478-position model. The record is from RNAcentral.
CAGUAGCCGCGGGAUACCAGCACCUCGAGUGGUCAGGAGGUUUAUUGGGCCUAAAGCAUCCGUAGCCGGUUGCAUAAGUUUUCGGUUAAAUCUAUGCGCUUAACGUAUAGGCCGCCGAAAAUACUGUGCAGCUAGGGAGUGGGAGAGGUACACGGUACUCGAUAGGAAGGGGUAAAAUCCUUUGAUCUAUUGAUUACCACCUGUGGCGAAGGCGGUGUACCAGAACACGUUCGACGGUGAGGGAUGAAAGCUGGGGGAGCAAACCGGAUUAGAUACCCGCGUAGUCCCUGUCUCUUAUACA